This 1425-nucleotide ribosomal RNA is filed under the name Enterobacter cancerogenus. RNAcentral's name for it is "16S ribosomal RNA". It matches the Rfam family "Bacterial small subunit ribosomal RNA". The record is from RNAcentral. Lineage: Bacteria; Pseudomonadati; Pseudomonadota; Gammaproteobacteria; Enterobacterales; Enterobacteriaceae.
AGUAAUGUCUCGGGAAACUGCCUGAUGGAGGGGGAUAACUACUGGAAACGGUAGCUAAUACCGCAUAACGUCGCAAGACCAAAGAGGGGGACCUUCGGGCCUCUUGCCAUCAGAUGUGCCCAGAUGGGAUUAGCUAGUAGGUGGGGUAACGGCUCACCUAGGCGACGAUCCCUAGCUGGUCUGAGAGGGAUGACCAGCCACACUGGAACUGAGACACGGUCCAGACUCCUACGGGAGGCAGCAGUGGGGAAUAUUGCACAAUGGGCGCAAGCCUGAUGCAGCCAUGCCGCGUGUAUGAAGCAAGGCCUUCGGGUUGUAAAGUACUUUCAGCGGGGUAGGCAAGGCGAUGAGGUUAAUAACCUUCAUCAAUUGACGUUACCCGCAGAAGAAGCACCGGCUAACUCCCGUGCCAGCAGCCGCGGUAAUACGGAAGGGUGCAAGCGUUAAUCGGAAUUACUGGGCGUAAAGCGCACGCAGGCGGUCUGUCAAGUCGGAUGUGAAAUCCCCCGGGCUCAACCUGGGAACUGCAUUCGUAAACUGGCAGGCUAGAGUCUUGUAGAGGGGGGUAGAAUUCCAGGUGUAGCGGUGAAAUGCGUAAAGAUCUGGAGGAAAACCGGUGGCGGAAGCGGCUCCCUGGACAAAGACUGACGCUCAAGGUGCGAAAGCGUGGGGGAGCAAAACAGGGAUUAGAUACCCUGGUAGUCCCACGCCGUAAACGGAUGUCGACUUGGAGGUUGUGCCCUUGAGGCGUGGCUUCCGGAGCUAACGCGUUAAGUCGACCGCCUGGGGGAGUACGGCCGCAAGGUUAAAACUUCAAAUGAAUUGACGGGGGCCCGCACAAGCGGUGGAGCAUGUGGUUUAAUUCGGAUGCAACGCGAAGAACCUUACCUACUCUUGACAUCCAGAGAACUUAGCAGAGAUGCUUUGGUGCCUUUCGGGAACUCUGAGACAGGUGCUGCAUGGCUGUCGUCAGCUCGUGUUGUGAAAUGUUGGGUUAAGUCCCGCAACGAGCGCAACCCUUAUCCUUUGUUGCCAGCGGCUCGGCCGGGAACUCAAAGGGAGACUGCCAGUGAUAAACUGGCAGGAAGGUGGGGAUGACGUCAAGUUCAUCAUGGCCCUUACGAGUAGGGCUACACACGUGCUACAAUGGCGCUAUACAAAGAGAAGCGUACCUCGCGAGAGCAAGCGGCACCUCAUAAAGUGCGUCGUAGUCCGGAUUGGAGUCUGCAACUCGACUCCAUGAAGUCGGAAUCGCUAGUAAUCGUAGAUCUAGAAUGCUACGGUGAAUACGUUCCCGGGCCUUGUACGACACCGCCCGUCUACUACCAAGGGGAGUGGGUUGCAAAAGAGUAGGUAGGCUUAACCUUGGGGAGGGCGCUUACCACUUUGUGAUUCAUGACUGGGGUGAAUCGUAACGAGGUACCC